CUGGUUCCCGUCAUCAAGAUGCAUGAAUUUAACAGCAUUUUGUAUGACUCGGAGGAAGGGAACCUGCUAGCUUUCAGAGCGAGCUCGGACCCAGCCUUUCAGCCCAUCAGCAGCAAAGUUGAACAUGUGGCCACCGCUUUUGAUGCCUAAUGGGAAUUUGCAUUUUGAACAGUUUAUAAAUCUGUCCCCAUAGCCUCAUUCCUUUGGCAAACGUGAUUACAUAGACUCAUGACAAAAAUCUUGCGAAAUUUAUCUUAUCCAUUAGCCUGCAGCAGUUCUUCCUUCGGAGGUACUCAAGUUCUGCUCCACAAUAGUCUGGGGCUGUGCUGGACAGCAAAACUAACAAAGAAAAGAAGGAUUUGGGUCCUGUCUGUUUGUAGGGGAAGUAAGAGGCUGGUGUGAAAUUCUUAUACUAGUGAUGGUCAAUAGAGUCUGAAUCCUUCAUGUUAUUGGACUUGCCUCUUCAGAAGAUUUUUGUGAGUGUACCCUGAUUUGGUACCUUCCUACAUUAGGCUUCAUUCCUACAAUCCUCCUGGGCAAGCAGAGACAGUUAAAGCAUACCUGUAUAAUGAGGGUUUAAGCAAGGCAGUGAAAGUUAGACUCUCAGUCUCCUCUUCUGGACUUUGCCCAAGAAGACUUCCUGAAAGGACAAUUUCACCUUGUUCCAGUUCCAUGUCUUAAAUUGCAGCAAGACCUGCUCUCAGAUCUUGAGGCAUCUGACAGAAGUUAAGAAAAAUCUAUUAGUUCUGUGAGAAGAAAGGAACAUUAUGGCCUGGUUUCAACAAGGAACUUCUAUAUCAUAUCUGUCUGAAAGACAGUAAGCAUCAAGUGGCAGAAGAGCCCCCCACCCUCAAGUAAUUUGUUCCACAUUUAAUUAAUACCUACUUGAACCAUCAUACGUCUGAAAUUUACCAUGGUGCAGCAUAUGUCCAUGUGCAGUCAGACAAGCUGCAGGAAGUCAUUAGAAUCCCCAGAGCAAUGAGAUCCUACCAGCCUGAGCUCAUCUCCUGUGCCUCUUAUCAACAGAGCAUCUGCAGUGGUGAAGACUCCAAAAAUGGCAUUAUCCCCAUCUUUCUACUCAGUCCUUGAGAAGUCUGCAGCAGUCUGUAACAGCCAGUCAAGGGAGUCCUCCCAAAGUAUGUGCCAUGAGCAUAUGCAUAAGCUUGCUGUUCCUUCUCCAUUGCACUCUUGUGUGGCCACACUCAAAUGCAGAAGAGGAUUUACUCAGCAAGCACCACAGUAUUACUUCUGAAUGAGAAGGAACAGAAGCAAGCCAGGUACAGGAUCAGGAAUAGAAAAGGCAUGAUGGUGGUUGGGGUAGGGACCAUCACCUCCAGGAGACAGAUGAAAGUAAAGUAUGAUGCUUUCCAGUGACCUGCUUUCCUCAUCAAAGUUUGUCCUCAUAAAGCUCUCCCUGGUUCAAAGGAUUUGAACUUUGGGUUCAAACCCUCAAAGUGCUAACAGUGAAAAUGUCACGUACUCAGCACUACCUGUUUCAAACCACUCCUGUUGCACCUACUUGCUAAAGUAGUUAGAGCCACUUUCUCCAUAACAGGCUUACACCAAAUAAACAGUCUGUACUGAACCUUUAAGCCAUACAAAGUAGUAAGAUCAAAAUAUGGCUUUAAAAUCAAAUACCUACUAUUACUGAAUAAAAUGAUUCACUUCAGUUACCAAUUGAUAUUUUACUUCCCACACAUUACUACAUGGCUUAAUGGUAAUAUUCCAGUAAUCCUUUGUGCAUCUUUAAUACAGACACUAAAAAUAUUAUCUGCAGUUUUGAUAAAGGUGUACAGCUUCCAUCAAACCCUUUUAAUUAAGAUCAUAAUGCUAGUUUAAAUGCAAGAAUCUGUACAAAACUGUCAUAUUUCUCCCUGGUGAAUUACAAACUCCUUUGAAACAUCUUGAUUAGAAGCUUGAAAGAAGGAAAACCGUUCAAAUUUUAAGUCAGAUUCCUUAUGCUGACCAGCACAGCAAUACAUUGCAAAAAUUCUCUUGAUCAAGACUGCAUAUUUAUAAUCUUUCUAAGUACUGGUGAAUAAUGGUCGUAAAAAUGGCAUUGUUUUCUAUGAAAUACCAGCUGAUACAGGAGACAAUAGUGAAAUUAGAAACCUACGAUACAGAAUUUCCUGUAAGAACAAGCAAGAAUUACUAGUCUUUGUAGCACUAGAUGACUAUACAGGCAUAAGAGGUAAUUGCUUCUGCUCUCACCGUGUAUCCUGCAGAAUUGUAGGCAGAAGCCAGAUCUGAUCUCUUGCUGCUGUUGGGCAGUUAUGCCUAAUCUGAAGAGAAUCUGCCUCCAAAAAUAAGUCUGCCACUUGCUACCAGGAAGCAGACAUUUUAGUGGUUAAGAAUGAAGUGUAGGGUGUUUUUUUAAUGAUAAUACUUGAUUAUAGAGUGAAUGCAUUUGGACAUCAAAUACAUGGCGAGAAGACUUCACCACAUGUAAAAGUGAUUAUAAGACUACAAAUUAAAAAAAGAAAGGUAGAGGAACUGUUGUUUUAUAGGCUAUUUGCAUCUGCAUCAUAUUUUUUUUUACAGCCUUAGUAAUACCUAGUUACCUUUGGUUUU
Long non-coding RNA from Dromaius novaehollandiae (emu), 2571 nucleotides. RefSeq lists it as uncharacterized. The record is from RefSeq and is a predicted model, not a curated record. NCBI's taxonomy places the organism in Eukaryota, Metazoa, Chordata, Aves, Casuariiformes, Dromaiidae. The transcript is spliced from 6 exons.